UACCAGAUGGCCUAGUGGAUAAGGCUGUGGAUCGCCAAUCCGUAGACGGCGGGUUCGAUUCCCGUUCCAGUCG
This is a non-coding RNA of Aedes albopictus (Asian tiger mosquito), 73 nucleotides long. NCBI's taxonomy places the organism in Eukaryota, Metazoa, Arthropoda, Insecta, Diptera, Culicidae. The record is from Rfam.